RNAcentral lists this ribosomal RNA (109 nucleotides) under Puccinia ocimi. RNAcentral describes it as "partial 5.8S ribosomal RNA". It matches the Rfam family "5.8S ribosomal RNA", at positions 47 to 154 of the family's 154-position model. From Rfam's summary of the family: 5.8S ribosomal RNA (5.8S rRNA) is a component of the large subunit of the eukaryotic ribosome. It is transcribed by RNA polymerase I as part of the 45S precursor that also contains 18S and 28S rRNA. The record is from RNAcentral. Lineage: Eukaryota; Fungi; Basidiomycota; Pucciniomycetes; Pucciniales; Pucciniaceae.
AGUGAAAUGUGAUAAGUAAUGUGAAUUGCAGAAUUCAGUGAAUCAUUGAAUCUUUGAACGCACCUUGCACCUUUUGGUAUUCCAAAAGGUACACCUGUUUGAGUGUCAU